CAACUCCAUAGCUCAAAAAACCUAUGUCCAGUUUGUGAAUUGCUACUGAUCUUCUUGAUGUAAGCUGCCACAAGGCCAAAUUGCCUCACGUUCAGUCAUCUCGGGAUUGUGAUUAUAGAAUUAUAGAAUGGUUUGGGUAGGAAGGGACCUUUCAGAUCAUCCAGUUCCACCCCCCCGCUACAGGCAGCAACACCUCCCACCUAGACCAGCUUGCUCAAGGUCCCACCUAGCCUGGCCUUGAAUGCUUCCAGAAUGGGUGCAUCCACAGCUUAUCUGGGCAAACUGUUACAGUAUCUCACCAUCCUCACAGUAAAGAAUUUCUUCUUACAAUCUAGUCCACAAUCUGCCCUCUUCCAUUUCCCUCCAUUCUGUCGCUAAGUGCCCUGAUAAAAAGUCCCUCCCCAGCAUCACCUGCAUUAGUUGAAAUCGGAGCAGAAGGCAGUCUCAGGUAUAGGUGGAAAGCAAGGUUUUCCCACACUUAGUUAAUGGUGUGAAAUAUGGUGUCAGAAUGCCUUGCUGAAGUCAAGGCACACAGCAUCCACUGCCCCCCCCCCCCCCAAUCUACCCAGCCAGUGAUGACAUCAGAGAACGCUGUCAGGUUGGUCAAGCAUGACUUCCCCUUGGUGGAUCCGUGUUGGCUACGCCCGAUAACCUUCUUCUCUUCCAAUGGCUUGGAGAGGGUAUCCAGAACAAGUUGUUCCAUCAUCUUUCUGGGGAUGGAGGUGAGGCUGAGUAGCCUGUAGCUUCCCAGAUCCGCCUUCUUGCACUUUUGAAAGACUGGAGUGACACUGGCUAUCCUCCAGUCUUCAGGCAUCUCUCUCCUGUUUGCCAGGACCUUCCAAAGAUGACAGAGAGCCAUUUAGCAAUCACCUCUGCCAGUUCCUUCAGCACAUGUGGGUGCAUCCCAUCGGGGCCUGUGGAUUAGCGUGCGUUAAUUUUGGCUAGAUGCUCUCUGGCCCAAUCCUCCUCGACCAAGGGGAAGCCUUCCCUUCCCCAGACUUUCUCU
This 1006-nucleotide long non-coding RNA is filed under the name Gallus gallus (chicken). RNAcentral's name for it is "lncRNA (ENSGALG00010003038.1)". The record is from RNAcentral. Lineage: Eukaryota; Metazoa; Chordata; Aves; Galliformes; Phasianidae.